CCUACGGGUGGCUGCAGUGGGGAAUAUUGGACAAUGGGCGAAAGCCUGAUCCAGCCAUGCCGCGUGUGUGAAGAAGGCCUUCGGGUUGUAAAGCACUUUCAGUGGGGAAGAAAGCCUUGAGUCUAAUACCCUCGAGGAAGGACAUCACCCACAGAAGAAGCACCGGCUAACUCCGUGCCAGCAGCCGCGGUAAUACGGAGGGUGCAAGCGUUAAUCGGAAUUACUGGGCGUAAAGCGCGCGUAGGCGGUCUGAUAAGCCGGUUGUGAAAGCCCCGGGCUCAACCUGGGAACGGCAUCCGGAACUGUCAGGCUAGAGUGUAGUAGAGGAAGGUAGAAUUCCCGGUGUAGCGGUGAAAUGCGUAGAGAUAGGGAGGAAUACCAGUGGCGAAGGCGGCUUUCUGGACUGACACUGACGCUGAGGUGCGAAAGCGUGGGUAGCAAACAGGAUUAGAUACCCUAGUAGUC
RNAcentral lists this ribosomal RNA (465 nucleotides) under Vreelandella stevensii. RNAcentral's name for it is "partial 16S ribosomal RNA". It matches the Rfam family "Bacterial small subunit ribosomal RNA", at positions 338 to 795 of the family's 1533-position model. The record is from RNAcentral. Lineage: Bacteria; Pseudomonadati; Pseudomonadota; Gammaproteobacteria; Oceanospirillales; Halomonadaceae.